This is a long non-coding RNA of Pseudoliparis swirei, 3941 nucleotides long. RefSeq lists it as uncharacterized. Lineage: Eukaryota; Metazoa; Chordata; Actinopteri; Perciformes; Liparidae. The record is from RefSeq and is a predicted model, not a curated record. The transcript has 3 exons.
UUAGUUAUUUAUUUAAAACCAGAAAUGCAACGAUCCAUAGAGGAGGGGCGGCCGUUGUUUACCCUCUGUGAGUCUAAGCUCACGGUUUGACCCUCGAGGGCUUGAGGGGAGGGGGGGGGGGCGGAUCUGAGUGAAUCUAAACAAACAGAAAAGAUCAUCUGAAAAGGUGGAGAUUAAUGUCAAGCUGCAAGUGUUUUACGAGAGGCUGAUCUGACUGUUGACGGCGAGUAUCUGCUCUCUCACCACGCCCGUUGAAUCCGGCUCAUGCGCAUCCUGCGAAUACCACAGUCUGGUAUCACAACUGACAAGAAAGUGACGGCGCGAAAGAAAAAAAAAGCCAUGCGGAUAGUUUUGCUUUUAUUUGCUCAGGAUUCUUUUCACGCUCUGAAUGGAUAAAGCUGCAAGACGAAAAAACACGGACAACCCCAUAGUAGUGAAGUCAAUCACAGGAAGCCUGCCGUGCUUUAUAUCACCUAUUUUACUUUAGAUGAACCAUACUUUACGACAUGAACAUAAUGUUGUUUUGAAGAAGACCUGAAAACAAGGAUUGAGACCAUAAACGUAUGUUUACAAUGUUUAUACUGAGGGAAUAAAUCAAGAGAGACGUCGAGGCAUUUUCUCAUCGACUUCUAUACAACCAGACUUGUUUUUGCAACCAGAGGAGACUAAUGGCAUUACAUGUCAUCGGCAGCAUUGAAGCUUUAAUACGUCUAACGUUGUUUUUUCAAAGCUGCACCAUUCCAGCAAAUGGAAAUAUUGCAAUAUGGAAAAGACACAUUGUUUUAGACACAUUGUUUUAGACACAUUGUUAGACACAUUGUGUUAGACACAUUGUUUUAGACACAUUGUUAGACACAUUGUGUUAGACACAUUGUUUUAGACAUUGUUUUAGACACAUUGUUUUAGACACAUUGUUUUCGAUACAUUGUUUUAGACACAUUGUUUUAGACACAUUGUUUUAGACACAUUGUUUUAGACACAUUGUUUUAGACACAUUGUGUUAGACACAUUGUGUGAGACACAUUGUUUUAGACACAUUGUGUGAGACACAUUGUUUUAGACACAUUUCCUGAAUCCUUUUAACCUAUGAAUAAAUAUAACAAACAUAUAGACAUGAUAUCAGUCUGACCCCCUCAGCCCACUGCAGUGGUCGGGCGUGCGGUCGGUACAUUUAGACCCGUGUCUGACCGCUCCGUCCGGGAAACAGAGGCUUACAGUCUGCAGGUUUACAUGGGAAGUGGACCUGGAUCCGACUAAGCCGCUUGUCCCGAGGUCCAAACAGGUGAAAUCCUUUAAGUCGGCCCAAUCACACGGGCGACGGUUCCCCGUCUGUCACCACUCUCCGGCUCAGGGCCGCGCAGUCGAGCCGAGUAAACAAAACGGGAGAGGAUCGAGUGCGAGGGGGAUGAGUCAUCAGUUGUGCGCUUUGCGUGCCUCAGUCUGCUGAACAUCCGCUCCCCCGAAGGCCCUUCGUCACCGCAGGCAUACUCCAGCAAUUACCUCCUCGCCCACACGCUGUCAGUCACACGGGCCAUAAUAACAGGCUGUCCCACUCCAGAACUCGCUCACCGGCACUCUCCACACACACACACACACACACACACACACACUGAAUAUUUUUACAGGUAUUGAACCCUGUAGGUUUUUUGUAUGGUUACAUUUAAGAGAUUGCGCAUCGGCUGUAUCGUAAACUGCUGACAAGAUAUUGUUUUCUUCUUUUACCAUUAAAAAAAUUCUUCAAUUAACAAAUGUAAAUGAAUUAUAUAUAGAAAUAUAUAUAUUAAAUUAUUUCAAUAAGUUCAAAUGAUUAACAUGAAUGUCUUCCCACAGAUACAGCUCCCCAACGCUGCAGAGGGACACAGUUAGCGACUAGCUGGUGGACAUAGUGGAGCUUUUAUCAGCUAAAAGGAAGAGUAAAUAUUGGACUUUCAACAUGUGCACACAAAUAUGACUCCAAAUGACGCCGCUCCAUGUCUGCUUGGACGUGUUGACGGGCAAACAUUUGCUCACACAUUUAGAAGGCAAUAUAUAUUAUGUCAACGUUGGCUUUAUGGCUUGUUGCACUGCCCUCCAGUGGACAAAAAGAACAUUUGUGAUGCGAUAUUAAGAAAUGUUUUCCGAAUUUUUCCGCACUGUCUCCUACGGAUGUCAAUCAUCAGUUAAUUUUCGCUCGAUACAUCCAUACAUCUUUUCAAAAUAAACGUCCUUCUCCACAGGAAACAACAUUACAUAUGUGGCUGCAUUCAUGUUACCUUGAAGACUUUAAUAUUGCCAUCCAUAAUGCUUUCAUAUUUCUCUUGAGAUUAAUACACAUGCUCAAACUGAUUAUGUAUUCACACCGCAGGUGACAUUAGGGGUGUGAAUAUUCUAGUCAACCUUUGUUCGUUAGCUAGGUGUUCGGUUUACAAUUUUGGUAUUUGGGAUAUUUGUUCGUCUCAAAUUAAAUCACAUAAAACAAAACAAAACUGCACUUCAUUCAGCUCUGAUUCGGCCCUCUUUCAUAGGAAUGUGGAGACACAGCCUGAUAUGUGGGAGUGCAACUUUAGUUGACCAGAAUACACAUAACUUCUUUUCCACGCCGACGCGACGUAUGUGGAAUUAAUUCUUCUCCAUCCCUGAACGUUAGCAUAGCGGGAAGGAUUCUUUCAAAAUGGUCAACUCACAAAAAUACAACAACGAUUUUCCUUAAAAAAACUCUGAUCCGUGCAGUUGAUACGUGAGCUCGACACAUCAGAGCUGGCAGUGUUGGCCUGUUAUUAUGCAAACAGAAUGCACUUAUUAUACGCCUCCAGACCCGCAAACCUCGAGCCCAACCAGCCAGUGGACAAACAGCCCUUUUGUGACAUUUGACUGUUUAUUUCUGGUUUUUUUCUUUCUUCUUCUUCUUUUCUUCUCCCAGACUCGUGGAAAAAAAACUGUGCGGGAUAACGCAGGCUCAGUGUUUACACGGCGUCUUGUUAUUGGUCUGCACUCCCACAGUCAGUUCCACCUGCCUGCGGGAAAAGAAGAUGCUGCGGUGUGUGACUGCGCUGCGGUAAUAAAAGGCCUCAUUCACAUCACAGCGCAUCCACACGGCUUCAGAGCCCCCCCCCCCCCCACACACACACAUACAAAUCCAGGUUGUACAAAAAUAAGUAGAAAGUGUCAAUGUGGCGACUCGAGGUGUGAGGAACCUGCUGACGCGACGCAUUUCCUUUUCUUUUAAUGGUCGCUCUCAUUCCUUCCCGCCCCGAUUCCAUCGUGACCCCCGAGGAAGAAGAAGUCCACCUCACGCGACGCCUCGUCCUCUCGCGCUCACGCAGCGCUCUCCAGGACGUCCACAGGCAACAUUGAGUCUUCGAAAAUCCCGCGGUGGGACCGAGCGCCUCCACGUCCUUCUGAGAACAAAGGCGCGCAGGACGCCGUCCCCCCAGUUCAGCGAGCAGGAGCACAUGUGCACACAAUACCUGGCCGAGGAAGGAAGGGAAGGUGACGUCACUCCUCCACAAUGAAAUGACUCACUGUUCCCCCAUUCGCCGCUCGACUUUAAAACACAGACGGCGACGAGAACAAGAAGGAAGCAAGAGGGAAAGAGUGCCUUUGUCGGCACAAUGCCGACGAUGAUUUCCAACCAGAAGCCGCGAGCUCUUCGACUGCGGGAACAGAUCGGCGGGUCGCGGUCAAGGCCUCGGCUACCGAAAGGCCGGACGCGGCUCACGUCAGCGAAUCGGCUUCAUUCAGAAGCAGCGGCCGUUCACACGGUCGGUGAAGUAGGUCGCGACAUCGUGACGAUUCACUUUGAUCCUGGAAAUCGAUACGCUAAAGGUUUACGAUUCUUUGUCUGAAUAACAGCUCCGAGGCUCCUCUUCGACCGGCUAAGACUGGAUGUUGAGCACCACCUGGUGGCCCAACGGAGGCACUGCGGCAGGGACAGGCAGAGUUGUGCUGUGCGGCCUAUACAC